RNAcentral lists this ribosomal RNA (703 nucleotides) under uncultured beta proteobacterium. Its description in RNAcentral is "bacterial SSU rRNA". It matches the Rfam family "Bacterial small subunit ribosomal RNA", at positions 793 to 1501 of the family's 1533-position model. Lineage: Bacteria; Pseudomonadati; Pseudomonadota; Betaproteobacteria. The record is from RNAcentral.
GUCCACGCCCUAAACGAUGUCUACUAGUUGUCGGGUCUUAAUUGACUUGGUAACGCAGCUAACGCGUGAAGUAGACCGCCUGGGGAGUACGGUCGCAAGAUUAAAACUCAAAGGAAUUGACGGGGACCCGCGCAAGCGGUGGAUGAUGUGGAUUAAUUCGAUGCAACGCGAAAAACCUUACCUACCCUUGACAUGGAUGGAAUCCCGGAGAGAUUUGGGAGUGCCCGAAAGGGAACCAUUACACAGGUGCUGCAUGGCUGCCGUCAGCUCGUGUCGUGAGAUGUUGGGUUAAGUCCCGCAACGAGCGCAACCCUUGUCAUUAGUUGCUACGAAAGAGCACUCUAAUGAGACUGCCGGUGACAAACCGGAGGAAGGUGGGGAUGACGUCAAGUCCUCAUGGCCCUUAUGGGUAGGGCUUCACACGUCAUACAAUGGUACAUACAGAGGGCCGCCAACCCGCGAGGGGGAGCUAAUCCCAGAAAGUGUAUCGUAGUCCGGAUCGUAGUCUGCAACUCGACUACGUGAAGUUGGAAUCGCUAGUAAUCGCGGAUCAGCAUGUCGCGGUGAAUACGUUCCCGGGUCUUGUACACACCGCCCGUCACACCAUGGGAGCGGGUUUUACCAGAAGUAGUUAGCCUAACCGUAAGGAGGGCGAUUACCACGGCAGGGUUCGUGACUGGGGUGAAGUCGUAACAAGGUAACC